AGAGUUUGAUCCUGGCUCAGAUUGAACGCUGGCGGCAGGCCUAACACAUGCAAGUCGAGCGGUAGCACAGGGAGCUUGCUCCUGGGUGACGAGCGGCGGACGGGUGAGUAAUGUCUGGGAAACUGCCUGAUGGAGGGGGAUAACUACUGGAAACGGUAGCUAAUACCGCAUAACGUCGCAAGACCAAAGAGGGGGACCUUCGGGCCUCUUGCCAUCAGAUGUGCCCAGAUGGGAUUAGCUAGUAGGUGGGGUAAUGGCUCACCUAGGCGACGAUCCCUAGCUGGUCUGAGAGGAUGACCAGCCACACUGGAACUGAGACACGGUCCAGACUCCUACGGGAGGCAGCAGUGGGGAAUAUUGCACAAUGGGCGCAAGCCUGAUGCAGCCAUGCCGCGUGUAUGAAGAAGGCCUUCGGGUUGUAAAGUACUUUCAGCGAGGAGGAAGGCAUUGUGGUUAAUAACCACAGUGAUUGACGUUACUCGCAGAAGAAGCACCGGCUAACUCCGUGCCAGCAGCCGCGGUAAUACGGAGGGUGCAAGCGUUAAUCGGAAUUACUGGGCGUAAAGCGCACGCAGGCGGUCUGUCAAGUCGGAUGUGAAAUCCCCGGGCUCGACCUGCGAACUGCAUUCGAAACUGGCAGGCUAGAGUCUUGUA
RNAcentral lists this ribosomal RNA (654 nucleotides) under uncultured bacterium. RNAcentral's name for it is "bacterial SSU rRNA". It matches the Rfam family "Bacterial small subunit ribosomal RNA", at positions 8 to 653 of the family's 1533-position model. The record is from RNAcentral.